Molecule: non-coding RNA, 103 nt
Organism: Picea glauca (white spruce)
Lineage: Eukaryota; Viridiplantae; Streptophyta; Pinopsida; Pinales; Pinaceae
Source: Rfam
AUCUCUUUGGAGACAUCCGAUAAAAUUGAAACGUUACAGAGAAGAUUAACAUGGCCCCUGCGAAAGGAUGACAGAUAAAAAUUGAGAAGUGGUCCAUGAUUUU